AUAGAGAUAAGCCGAUUUCAUGUGUUAUUUAUGACGUACUUAUGCACUGUGCUCAAACUGUUGCUAAUCGUCUGAAGCUGCCGGGGAUUGCUCUUCGGACUAGUGCUGCUGCUACCAUAUUAUCCUAUUUUGCUGUCUUUCCUAAUCCACUUGAACAAGGCUUUGGUUCUCUUCUAGAUUCCAUGGCUGAAGAAUUUUCGACUGAGCUUCAGUCCCUCAAGCUUAAGGAGCUACAUGCCUCUAUAAAAACAGAGUAUCCUCCAGAUGCCGUGCUAGAGCUGAGAGCAAUCAUCACAAGCGCAAUUAAAGACUCGUCAGCUAUCAUUAUUAACACAAUGUCCUAUCUUGAACGGGAAGCACUGACAAAGAUUCAAGAUAUUUUCAAUGCUUCAAUAUUUCCCGUAGGCCCUUUCCACAAGCUAGCCCCAACAGCCUCUAAUUCACUGCUGCAGGAAGACAGAAGUUGCAUUUCUUGGCUUGACAAGCAAACCCCAAAAUCUGUUCUCUAUGUAAGCUUUGGCAGCAUUGUUAGCAUGACUGAGGAUGAAUUACUCGAGGUAGCCUGGGGUCUAGCCAACAGUGAGCUGCCUUUCUUGUGGGUGCUUAGGCCUGGUUUGGUUCGUGGUUCAGAUUUGCUUGAGCCAUUGCCAGAAAUUUUCAAAAA
RNAcentral lists this unclassified non-coding RNA (664 nucleotides) under Hevea brasiliensis (rubber tree). Lineage: Eukaryota; Viridiplantae; Streptophyta; Magnoliopsida; Malpighiales; Euphorbiaceae. The record is from RNAcentral.